UGGGGAAUAUUGCACAAUGGAGGAAACUCUGAUGCAGCGACGCCGCGUGAGGGAAGAAGGUCUUCGGAUUGUAAACCUCUGUUGUCAGGGACGAUAAUGACGGUACCUGACGAGGAAGCCACGGCUAACUACGUGCCAGCAGCCGCGGUAAAACGUAGGUGGCAAGCGUUGUCCGGAAUUACUGGGUGUAAAGGGAGCGCAGGCGGAUUUGCAAGUUGGAAGUGAAACUCAUGGGCUCAACCCAUGAACUGCUUUCAAAACUGCAGAUCUUGAGUGGUGUAGAGGUAGGCGGAAUUCCCGGUGUAGCGGUGGAAUGCGUAG
This 321-nucleotide ribosomal RNA is filed under the name uncultured bacterium. Its description in RNAcentral is "bacterial SSU rRNA". It matches the Rfam family "Bacterial small subunit ribosomal RNA", at positions 355 to 693 of the family's 1533-position model. The record is from RNAcentral.